GUAUAUAUAAGCGUUUGUGUCAGUAUUGUGUUUUUGAAAAAAAAAAGAAAAAGUAUCCACGAGAGGUUGAACUAAGAUUGCAAGGAAUUGGACGUUUUUUAAAUCCCGUGGUAGUUGAAAUUUGACUUUGACCACUAGUUUUAUAAUUUUAUUUGUAUCGUCUAAAAUUUAUGAAACCAUUUCCUAAACACUUCGAUUGUACAUGAGUACAGUUUACUCAAUCAUAUUAGUGUUCAAACUGAACUCUAA
RNAcentral lists this long non-coding RNA (249 nucleotides) under Setaria viridis. RNAcentral's name for it is "long non-coding RNA (SVIR_LNC003005)". Lineage: Eukaryota; Viridiplantae; Streptophyta; Magnoliopsida; Poales; Poaceae. The record is from RNAcentral.